UGGAGGCGGAGGCACUCGCCGCCGAUUAU
RNAcentral lists this small RNA (29 nucleotides) under Bombyx mori (domestic silkworm). RNAcentral describes it as "ovarian small RNA-34609". Lineage: Eukaryota; Metazoa; Arthropoda; Insecta; Lepidoptera; Bombycidae. The record is from RNAcentral.